CGUGUAGGCGGAGAUGCAAGUUGGGAGUGAAAUCCCGGGGCUCAACCCCGGAACUGCUUUCAAAACUGCAUCCCUUGAGUAUCGGAGAGGCAAGCGGAAUUCCUAGUGUAGCGGUGAAAUGCGUAGAGAUCUGGAGGAAUACCGAUUGCGAAGGCAGCCCCCUGGACAGUGACUGACGCUCAUAUGCGAAAGCGUGGGGAUCAAACAGGAUUAGAUACCCCAGUA
RNAcentral lists this ribosomal RNA (225 nucleotides) under uncultured Thorsellia sp. RNAcentral describes it as "partial 16S ribosomal RNA". It matches the Rfam family "Bacterial small subunit ribosomal RNA", at positions 568 to 792 of the family's 1533-position model. Lineage: Bacteria; Pseudomonadati; Pseudomonadota; Gammaproteobacteria; Enterobacterales; Thorselliaceae. The record is from RNAcentral.